Molecule: ribosomal RNA, 855 nt
Filed under: Triticum aestivum (bread wheat)
Lineage: Eukaryota; Viridiplantae; Streptophyta; Magnoliopsida; Poales; Poaceae
Description: partial small subunit ribosomal RNA
Source: RNAcentral
AUGGCUGCUAUUGUUGAAGGUCCCACUCCUAAGUAUGAGUGCUUGCUAUUUGAUUUGGAUGAUACACUGUAUCCUCUUAGUGCUGGCAUCAAUCUUGCUUGCCGCAAAAAUAUUCAAGAUUACAUGCGUGACCAUCUGCGAAUUGAAGAAAGCCAAAUUGCAGAGAUGUGCCUGGAACUUUAUAGGGAAUAUGGCACCACAAUGGCUGGUCUUAAGGCAUUAGGUUACGAGUUUGAAAACGAUGAAUUUCAUUCAAAUGUUCAUGGUAGACUGCCAUAUGACAAUCUGAGGCCUGACUCUGUUUUGAGGACCCUUCUACUUUCCAUUCCACAAAGAAAAAUAAUAUUUACAAACUCGGACAAGGUUCACGCGGAAGAGGUUCUGCGCAGGCUGGGUUUGCAGGACUGCUUUGAGGGUGUGAUAUGCUUCGAGACAUUGAAUCCACCAGCCAUGACGAGCAAUGGCCUAUGCAAGUCCCAGGAGGAUCCUAUGGCGCUCUCUGGUGAACCAUCUUCCGACUUGGACGAUCUCUACGGAUCGGAUGGCAGACCAAAAUCACCCAUCCUGUGCAAACCCACUAUUGAAUCAAUGGAAGCCGCAAUUCAGAUAGCAAAUGUUGAUCCUAAGAAGACAAUCUUCUUUGAUGACAGCACCAGGAAUAUCGCUACCGGAAAGGCUGCAGGCUUCCACACCGUGAUUGUUGGUAGGUCAACACUCGUUCCAGGGGCUGAUCAUGCACUGGAGAGCAUCCACAACAUCAAGGAGGCGUUGCCCGAGAUAUGGGAAGUCCACGACUGGUCAGAAUUUGACGCUGUUCCUGCUUCUGCCGCGGUAGAAACAUCGGUUAUUGCUUGA